This is a small nuclear RNA of Sorex fumeus (smoky shrew), 103 nucleotides long. Lineage: Eukaryota; Metazoa; Chordata; Mammalia; Eulipotyphla; Soricidae. The record is from RefSeq and is a predicted model, not a curated record.
UCGCUUCGGCAGCACAUAUACUAAAAUUGGAACAAUACAGAGAAGAUUAGCACGGCCCCUGUGCAAGGAUGACACGCAAAUUUGUAAAGCGUUCCAUAGAACA